UAAUGGAAAAACGAAUUAGGUUCUUUUUAUUUGUAAAAGAUUAAAAGGGAAUCAGGUGAAAGUCCUGAACGGUCCGGCCACUGUAAUUGAGGAGCGACUUUCCAUUAUGCCACUGGGGAAUACCCCGGGAAGGCGGAAGGAAGCGAUGAUCCAAAAGUCAGGAGAACUGCCUAACGCGUAUAUAUGUA
This 188-nucleotide non-coding RNA is filed under the name Bacillus sp. (in: firmicutes). Lineage: Bacteria; Bacillati; Bacillota; Bacilli; Caryophanales; Bacillaceae. The record is from RNAcentral.